GGGCAAUUGUCUUAAAACUGCAGCAAGAUGGUAAAGUUAUCUAUGUCCAUACCAGCAGCCACAUAGAUGGCACACGUUCCAAAAGAUGAGGUUGAUGAUCCUUUGACCAAUCAGAAGAAUAACAAAUUUUAUGGACAAGUGAAAGACUAUUAGAACCCAGCUCCGCUGGAGGCCAUUAUCCAAAGCAAAUUAAUGUAGAAACAGAAAACCGAAUACUUCAUGUUUUCACCUAUAAGUGGAAGCUAACCAUUGGGUACUCAUGGACAUAAAGGAGGCAACAAUUGAAAUUGGGGCCUACUGGAGGGGGGAAAGGAUACAAAGUUUGAAAAGCUACUGGGUACUAUACUCAGUACCUGGGUGAUGGGCUCAUUUGUACCCCAAAUCUCAGCAUCAUGCAAUAUACCCAGGUAACAAACCUGUGUCAGAGGCAUGUACCCUCUGACUCUAAAAUAAAAGUUAAAAUAAAGAAACCACAUGAGAAGAUCAGAGUUAAGAUAAAUGAGUGGUAUUAAAAUGAUGUUAGUCUGGGCUGUGUGGUUAUGUUGUCCAGCCCGCCACCACUAUACUGUAUGGAAGGUGGGUAUCUUCUCCAGCCUGCCACCACUAGACCAUUUCUGUAUGUAAGGCAGUUCUCCUGUCUAGCCCACUGCUGCUGGACUCUCUUUCCUGUAUGUAAGCUCUUAAUAAAAUCCCAUGUCUUGUUAAAAAAUGAUGUUAAUGAUAAUUUUGACUAUGGAACAAAUAACAUUAUGAUGGGGAAAAAAUAAAAUCCAGCUCUACAUGUUGAGAUGCAUGGGAGAA
RNAcentral lists this long non-coding RNA (801 nucleotides) under Homo sapiens (human). RNAcentral describes it as "HSALNT0326698". Lineage: Eukaryota; Metazoa; Chordata; Mammalia; Primates; Hominidae. The record is from RNAcentral.